AUGCUGCCACUGAGCUGACCUGCUGGACUUGGGUUGUGGCAGACGGAUGGCGAACGUGCAGGUCGCCGUGCGGGUCCGGCCGCUCAGCAAGAGGGAGACCAAAGAAGGGGGAAGAAUUAUUGUGGAAGUUGAUGGCAAAGUGGCAAAAAUCAGGAAUUUAAAGGUGGACAAUCGAACAGAUGGCUUUGGGGACUCCCGGGAGAAGGUUAUGGCAUUUGGCUUUGAUUACUGCUACUGGUCAGUCAACCCAGAGGAUCCCCAGUAUGCAUCUCAAGAUGUUUUCCAGGAUUUAGGGAUGGAAGUACUGUCUGCAGUUGCCAAAGGCUAUAACAUAUGCCUUUUUGCUUAUGGACAGACAGGCUCUGGGAAGACAUAUACCAUGCUGGGGACCCCAGCCUCUGUUGGGUUGACACCACGGAUAUGUGAGGGUCUCUUCGUCAGGGAGAAAGACUGUGCCUCACUGCCUUCCUCCUGUAGGAUAAAAGUAAGGUAAGAACCUACCAAGCUCUGGGACCUAUAGUAGUUCUCCUUCCACUCCAAAUUCUACCAUGUU
Molecule: small RNA, 553 nt
Filed under: Pongo abelii (Sumatran orangutan)
Lineage: Eukaryota; Metazoa; Chordata; Mammalia; Primates; Hominidae
Description: retained intron
Source: RNAcentral